Molecule: long non-coding RNA, 271 nt
Filed under: Malus domestica (apple)
Lineage: Eukaryota; Viridiplantae; Streptophyta; Magnoliopsida; Rosales; Rosaceae
Description: long non-coding RNA (MDOM_LNC012810)
Source: RNAcentral
AAAUUUAAAGCAGUCAACAUAAAAAGUCAUUCACAGAUGCAAGUUUGGGGGAGAUUGUUGCAGAUCCAGCACAGAGACAUAAUUUUGAGCAAUUAAUUUUCUGCAGCUCAGUUUUGCGAUGCAUGGAGGAGAAGCACAGUUAAAUCAUAGAUCCAUACACCACAGAACUGAGUACAGCUAUUAUUACCAGAUCUACAACAAUUCAACUUGCAAGGAUAUGAAAUUUUACCUCCCAGAUGCACCGAUCUGGGCUCUUCGAAGCUUGUGCCGU